AACGCGAAGAACCUUACCAAGUCUUGACAUCCUUUGACCACCCUAGAGAUAGGGCUUUCCCUUCGGGGACAAAGUGACAGGUGGUGCAUGGUUGUCGUCAGCUCGUGUCGUGAGAUGUUGGGUUAAGUCCCGCAACGAGCGCAACCCCUAUUAUUAGUUGCCAGCAUUUAGUUGGGCACUCUAAUGAGACUGCCGGUGACAAACCGGAGGAAGGUGGGGAUGACGUCAAAUCAGCAUGCCCCUUAUGACUUGGGCUACACACGUGCUACAAUGGAUGGUACAACGAGUCGCAAACCCGCGAGGGCAAGCAAAUCUCUUAAAGCCAUUCUCAGUUCGGAUUGCAGGCUGCAACUCGCCUGCAUGAAGCCGGAAUCGCUAGUAAUCGUGGAUCAGCAUGCCACGGUGAAUACGUUCCCGGGUCUUGUACACACCG
This 433-nucleotide ribosomal RNA is filed under the name uncultured bacterium. Its description in RNAcentral is "bacterial SSU rRNA". It matches the Rfam family "Bacterial small subunit ribosomal RNA", at positions 958 to 1392 of the family's 1533-position model. The record is from RNAcentral.